GCCGGGCGUGGUGGCUUGUGCCUGUAGCCCCAGCUACUCGGGAGACUGAGGUGGGAGGAUUCCCUGAGCCCAGGAGUUCUGGGCUGUAGUGUGCUAUGCUGAUCGGAUGUCCGCACUAACUUUGGCAUCAAUAUGGUGACCUCCCGGGAGUGGGGGACCACCAGGUUGCCUAAGGCGGGGUGAACCGGCCCAGGUCGGAAACGGAGCAGGUCAAAACUCCCGUGCUCAUCAGUAGUGGGAUCGAGCCUGUGAAUAGCCACUGCACUCCAGCCUGGGCAACAUAGCAAGACCCCAUCGCC
This 299-nucleotide signal recognition particle RNA is filed under the name Cebus imitator (Panamanian white-faced capuchin). Its description in RNAcentral is "Metazoan signal recognition particle RNA (ENSCCAG00000005634.1)". It matches the Rfam family "Metazoan signal recognition particle RNA". From Rfam's summary of the family: The signal recognition particle (SRP) is a universally conserved ribonucleoprotein. It is involved in the co-translational targeting of proteins to membranes. The eukaryotic SRP consists of a 300-nucleotide 7S RNA and six proteins: SRPs 72, 68, 54, 19, 14, and 9. Lineage: Eukaryota; Metazoa; Chordata; Mammalia; Primates; Cebidae. The record is from RNAcentral.